UACGUAGGGUGCGAGCGUUGUCCGGAAUUAUUGGGCGUAAAGAGCUUGUAGGCGGUUUGUCGCGUCUGCCGUGAAAAUCCGGGGCUCAACCCCGGACUUGCGGUGGGUACGGGCAGACUAGAGUGUGGUAGGGGAGACUGGAAUUCCUGGUGUAGCGGUGAAACGCGCAGAUAUCAGGAGGAACACCGAUGGCGAAGGCAGGUCUCUGGGCCACUACUGACGCUGAGAAGCGAAAGCGUGGGGAGCGAACAGG
This 253-nucleotide ribosomal RNA is filed under the name uncultured bacterium. RNAcentral describes it as "partial 16S ribosomal RNA". It matches the Rfam family "Bacterial small subunit ribosomal RNA", at positions 524 to 776 of the family's 1533-position model. The record is from RNAcentral.